This 460-nucleotide ribosomal RNA is filed under the name uncultured bacterium. RNAcentral describes it as "partial 16S ribosomal RNA". It matches the Rfam family "Bacterial small subunit ribosomal RNA", at positions 338 to 795 of the family's 1533-position model. The record is from RNAcentral.
CCUACGGGAGGCAGCAGUGAGGAAUAUUGGUCAAUGGACGAGAGUCUGAACCAGCCAAGUAGCGUGAAGGAUGACUGCCCUAUGGGUUGUAAACUUCUUUUAUAUGGGAAUAAAAUGUUCCACGUGUGGGCUUUUGUAUGUACCAUAUGAAUAAGGAUCGGCUAACUCCGUGCCAGCAGCCGCGGUAAUACGGAGGAGCCGAGCGUUAUCCGGAUUUAUUGGGUGUAAAGGGAGCGUAGGUGGAUUGUUAAGUCAGUUGUGAAAGUUUGCGGCUCAACCGGAAAAUUGCAGUUGAAACUGGCAGGCUUGAGUACAGUAGAGGGGGGCGGAAUGCGUGGUGUAGCGGUGAAAUGCUUAGAUAUCACGAAGAACUCCGAUGGCGAAGGCAGCUCACUGGACUGCAACUGACACUGAGGCUCGAAAGUGUGGGUAUCAAACAGGAUUAGAUACCCGAGUAGUC